GGGGCUGACUGGAUUUGACAGCAGGUCGAGGUGUUGUGUAAGCACGCAGAGAGUUGUUAGCCGCUCUCUUUAAUCUCUGACUUUCAACAAUUUAAUUGGCGCAAACAACUACGCUCUCGCUGCCUAACCGAAGUACAGUAGGUCUGUGGCUUUAUCCCGGCACCAGGUGCCAGGACGAGACAUCGCUCAAAAGCUGUUGUUCCGAAGCGUUUGAUCAAGCGGUGCAGGAAAAUCGGAAAUAGUCUUCGGAGACGUUUCUAUCCUUAGGCGAAACCUUUAGAAACUAAGGCAUUGAUUGGUGGUCCAGGUCUUGUCAAUGCACGAAAAUGAAGGCUGGAAUAAGCGUGUAGAAAGCACAGGACGUCCCUGUUUGGACGAGGGUUCAAUCCCCUCCAGCUCCACAA
This 404-nucleotide transfer-messenger RNA is filed under the name Bacteroidaceae bacterium. It matches the Rfam family "transfer-messenger RNA". From Rfam's summary of the family: Bacterial tmRNA, also known as 10Sa RNA or SsrA, is named for its dual tRNA and mRNA-like properties. Its role is to liberate the mRNA from a stalled ribosome. The record is from RNAcentral. Lineage: Bacteria; Pseudomonadati; Bacteroidota; Bacteroidia; Bacteroidales; Bacteroidaceae.